UGGGGAAUAUUGCACAAUGGGCGCAAGCCUGAUGCAGCCAUGCCGCGUGUGUGAAGAAGGCCUUCGGGUUGUAAAGCACUUUCAGCGAGGAGGAAGGUGGUGAGCUUAAUACGCUCAUCAAUUGACGUUACUCGCAGAAGAAGCACCGGCUAACUCCGUGCCAGCAGCCGCGGUAAUACGGAGGGUGCAAGCGUUAAUCGGAAUUACUGGGCGUAAAGCGCACGCAGGCGGUUUGUUAAGUCAGAUGUGAAAUCCCCGGGCUCAACCUGGGAACUGCAUUUGAAACUGGCAAGCUAGAGUCUCGUAGAGGGGGGUAGAAUUCCAGGUGUAGCGGUGAAAUGCGUAGAGAUCUGGAGGAAUACCGGUGGCGAAGGCGGCCCCCUGGACGAAGACUGACGCUCAGGUGCGAAAGCGUGGGGAGCAAACAGGAUUAGAUACCCCUGGUAGUCCACGCUGUAAAACGAUGUCGAUUUUGGAGGUUGUGCCCUUGAGGCGUGGCUUCCGGAGCUAACGCGUUAAAUCGACCGCCUGGGGAGUACGGCCGCAAGGUUAAAACUCAAAUGAAUUGC
Molecule: ribosomal RNA, 569 nt
Filed under: uncultured bacterium
Lineage: Bacteria
Description: partial 16S ribosomal RNA
Rfam family: Bacterial small subunit ribosomal RNA
Source: RNAcentral